Molecule: non-coding RNA, 443 nt
Organism: Procambarus clarkii (red swamp crayfish)
Lineage: Eukaryota; Metazoa; Arthropoda; Malacostraca; Decapoda; Cambaridae
Source: RefSeq, a predicted model, not a curated record
ACACUCAGGUGGUGAGGUGUAGUGGAGGACCAACACUCAGGUGGUGAGGUGUAGUGGAGGACCAACACUCAGGUGGUGAGGUGUAGUGGAGGACCAACACUCAGGUGGUGAGGUGUAGUGGAGGACCAACACUCAGGUGGUGAGGUGUAGUGGAGGACCAACACUCAGGUGGUGAGGUGUAGUGGAGGUCCAACACUCAGGUGGUGAGGUGUAGUGGAGGUCCAACACUCAGGUGGUGAGGUGCAGUGGAGGACCAACACUCAGGUGGUGAGGUGCAGUGGAGGUCCAACACUAAGGUGGUGAGGUGCAGUGGAGGACCAACACUCAGGUGGUGAGGUGCAGUGGAGGACCAACACUAAGGUGGUGAGGUGUAGUGGAGGUCCAACACUCAGGUGGUGAGGUGUAGUAGAGGUCCAACACUAAGGUGGUGAGGUGCAGUGGAG